This 384-nucleotide ribosomal RNA is filed under the name Leegaardiella sp. RNAcentral describes it as "partial small subunit ribosomal RNA". It matches the Rfam family "Eukaryotic small subunit ribosomal RNA", at positions 582 to 975 of the family's 1831-position model. The record is from RNAcentral. Lineage: Eukaryota; Ciliophora; Spirotrichea; Choreotrichida; Leegaardiellidae.
AUUCCAGCUCCAAUAGCGUAUAUUAAAGUUGUUGCAGUUAAAAAGCUCGUAGUUGGAUUUCUGGCCGAGUGUCCCCAGGCCAGCAUGACGUUUGGUCCUGGGCGCUCUGCCAUCCUUCUGUCAACCUUCGCCUCGUUCAUUCGUGGCGCUGGGGCUCAGAUAUUUUACCUUGAGAAAAUUAGAGUGUUUCAGGCAGGCUUUCGCCGGAAUACAUUAGCAUGGAAUAAUAGAAAAGGACUUCAACCUCUUCUGUUGGUCUGAGAGGCUGUAGUAAUGAUUAAUAGGGAUAGUUGGGGGCAUUAGUACUUUACUGUCAGAGGUGAAAUUCUCCGAUUUGUUAAAGACUAACUUAUGCGAAAGCAUUUGCCAAGGAUGUUUUCAUUA